GACCAUCUAGAGUGAUAUGUAUGUUAAGUAUGCAUACAUACAUAGAGUAUAUGGUUAUACUUAUUGUAUAUAAUAUAGUAGUGGCAUUUUAGAAAUAUAUUUAAAAUAUAAGUUUUUUUGAAAAAAUUUCGCGUGGUAAGAUCUAGAGUAUCUUAAUAUGAGUAUAUAAACAUACUCAAACUGAUAAACAAGUAUGAAUACAUACACAAUGUAGUUUAU
Molecule: long non-coding RNA, 219 nt
Filed under: Sorghum bicolor (sorghum)
Lineage: Eukaryota; Viridiplantae; Streptophyta; Magnoliopsida; Poales; Poaceae
Description: long non-coding RNA (SBIC_LNC001830)
Source: RNAcentral